This 254-nucleotide ribosomal RNA is filed under the name uncultured bacterium. Its description in RNAcentral is "partial 16S ribosomal RNA". It matches the Rfam family "Bacterial small subunit ribosomal RNA", at positions 524 to 776 of the family's 1533-position model. The record is from RNAcentral.
UACGUAGGGUGCGAGCGUUGUCCGGAAUUAUUGGGCGUAAAGAGCUCGUAGGCGGUGUGUCACGUCGUUCGUGAAAACCUGCAGCUUAACUGUGGGCGUGCGGUCGAUACGGGCAUCACUGGAGUUCGGCAGGGGAGACUGGAAUUCCUGGUGUAGCGGUGAAAUGCGCAGAUAUCAGGAGGAACACCGAUGGCGAAGGCAGCUCGCUGGGACGGUACUGACGCUGAGGCGCGAAAGCGUGGGGAGCGAACAGG